Molecule: long non-coding RNA, 145 nt
Organism: Bufo bufo (common toad)
Lineage: Eukaryota; Metazoa; Chordata; Amphibia; Anura; Bufonidae
Exons: 3
Source: RefSeq, a predicted model, not a curated record
GAUGUAUGCUUUGGUUAUAUACACUUACCUUUCCUGUAGACAGCUGAUGUCUGGUCCUCACAGGCAGCCUGGAGAAGAAGGUGCCAUCACCCCUCUGUGCCAUCCAGGGACAGCAGUGGAGGGGUUAUGGCGGGGUCAGAGAACA